GGGGGAUGCGAGCGUUAUCCGGAUUUAUUGGGUUUAAAGGGUGCGUAGGCGGCAAGGUAAGUCAGCGGUGAAAGACCAGGGCUCAACUCUGGAAGUGCCGUUGAUACUGUCUGGCUAGAAUGAUUCCGCCGUGGGAGGAAUGAGUAGUGUAGCGGUGAAAUGCAUAGAUAUUACUCAGAACACCGAUUGCGAAGGCAUCUCACGAGGGGUUUAUUGACGCUGAGGCACGAAAGCGUGGGGAUCGAACAGGAUUAGAUACCCUGGUAGUCCACGCAGUAAACGAUGAUGGCUAACUGUCGGGCCUUAGGGUUCGGCGGCCAAGCGAAAGCGAUAAGCCAUCCACCUGGGGAGU
This 352-nucleotide ribosomal RNA is filed under the name uncultured bacterium. RNAcentral describes it as "bacterial SSU rRNA". It matches the Rfam family "Bacterial small subunit ribosomal RNA", at positions 527 to 881 of the family's 1533-position model. The record is from RNAcentral.